Molecule: long non-coding RNA, 846 nt
Filed under: Takifugu rubripes (torafugu)
Lineage: Eukaryota; Metazoa; Chordata; Actinopteri; Tetraodontiformes; Tetraodontidae
Description: lncRNA (ENSTRUG00000026442.1)
Source: RNAcentral
AUGACCUACCCCAAGAGCCUAAUGGUGAAAGCCGGAGAACCCACUAAAGCUAACCUGUCCAUCACUUCACUUCCCACGACACCAUCGGGAACUGAUGUCACCCUGACUAUAGAUGUGAAGUCGUCCAGUGUUGGCGCCGACUCAAACUAUGUCGUUUUGAGACUCUCCGUUGUUGAAAAGAUUACAGACUUUGUCGCUCCAUUGUGCAACGUGUACGACGUGAUGGCUGGCGACUGCCCUGAUGACGUGUCCAAGUGUGGACUGUUCAAGUGGCACUUCACAGCCAACCUCACUGAUAACAACGGCACCGGGAUAGACCAGAUCUCCCUGCGUCAGGGCAAUGGAAACCUCACAUACACCUCUCUCAGUGAUCCUCUGGUCCAGGCCAAAUACGAAGCCUCCUGUUGCUCGCAGACUGCAGAGUUUGUAGCUUUAGAUAAAGUUGGCAACGUGGGCAAGUGCUAUCAUUCCAUCGUCAAAGAUUUUGAUCCACCUCAGUGUCAGCUGGUCCGACUGGUGGUGGAUGGUGGCAAAUGCCCCAAUGAUCUGACGUACUGCAGAGAUCACAAAUGGGAACUGGUUGUCAACCUUACUGAUGGAAAUGGAACGGGCUUGAAGGGAAUUUCCCUGCAUCACGGUGAUGGAAUCCUCAUCUACUCUUCCCUUAAUAGUCCUGUGACUGAGGUCAGCUACAACGCGACCUGCUGCGCUCAGGUGGUGGACUUCCGCGCUGUAGAUAAAGCAGGCAACGAGGGCAGGUGCUACUACUCGAUCGUGUCCUCUGCCGGUCCCCUGACACUGUCGGUGUGGUUGUUACUGGCAGCUGCCCUCACGGCAAUGCUCUGA